This 253-nucleotide ribosomal RNA is filed under the name uncultured bacterium. Its description in RNAcentral is "partial 16S ribosomal RNA". It matches the Rfam family "Bacterial small subunit ribosomal RNA", at positions 524 to 776 of the family's 1533-position model. The record is from RNAcentral.
GACGGAGGGGGCUAGCGUUGUCCGGAAUUACUGGGCGUAAAGCGCUCGUAGGCGGUCGCGUACGGCGGUGGUGAAAGCUCCCGGCUCAACUGGGAGAGGCCCGCCGCAACGGCGUGACUCGAGGGUGGUAGAGGCAGACGGAAUUCCUGGUGUAGCGGUGAAAUGCGUAGAGAUCAGGAGGAACACCCGUGGCGAAGGCGGUCUGCUGGGCCAUGCCUGACGCUGAGGAGCGAAAGUGUGGGGAGCGAACAGG